Molecule: small RNA, 40 nt
Filed under: Arabidopsis thaliana (thale cress)
Lineage: Eukaryota; Viridiplantae; Streptophyta; Magnoliopsida; Brassicales; Brassicaceae
Description: ATSL125760
Source: RNAcentral
AUAAACCAGAAAACAGCAAACGCCAAACAAACAAUAUUCA